UGCAAAUAGUAGAAAUUCUCAUUUCCAAGUC
Molecule: non-coding RNA, 31 nt
Filed under: Mus musculus (house mouse)
Lineage: Eukaryota; Metazoa; Chordata; Mammalia; Rodentia; Muridae
Source: RNAcentral